Cinara cedri is the source of this 357-nucleotide non-coding RNA. The record is from the annotation of a GenBank genome assembly. Lineage: Eukaryota; Metazoa; Arthropoda; Insecta; Hemiptera; Aphididae.
AUUAAAUUAUUAAAUGAUACUAACAUCUAGUUGUUUAAUUACCAUAAUUUAUAUCAUAAGGUAAAUAUGGUGAAUUUAUACUCGAAAUUUUUCUGUAAAUUAGUUUAAAUAUUAUUUAUAAAUUUUGUAAUAUUUUCUCUUCAGGGUAGAAAGAUUGGCCCGUUAAAUGGUUGGACAUACUCAAGAAAAGAUGGAGAGUUUGAUUAAAAGAAGUAAUCUUCAUCUUUUUUUGAGUAUGACCAAAGAUUUAAGAAUACUUCAAGGAAACCUUAAAUGUUAUAAGGUAUGUUUCAGAANCGAAUUACUCUUUGGCAUAGAAGGAUUGAACUAUUAAAUAGUUGGACGUACUCAAGAAAA